ACAUUGAUCAAAAGUGACUGUAAAUAAUUUAUAAUGUUGCAUAAAAUUUCUCUGUUCUUUUGACCUUUCUAUUCAUCAAAAAAAGGAAAAAAAUGACAAUUUUCACAAAAAUAUUAAGCUGCACAAAUGUUUUCAAGAUUGAUACUAAUAAGAACUGUUUCUUUAGCACAAAAUGAGAAUAUUGGAAUGAUUUCUGAAGGAUCAUGUGACUCUGAAAACUGAAGUACUGAUGCUGAACAUUCAGAUUUGCCAUCGUAAUUUUUUUUUGAAAAUAUAUGAAAAUAGAAUAAUUAUAAUAAUUAAAAUAUUGGACACUGUUCCCUUUUUUUUACUGUAUUUUUGACCAAAUAAAUGCAGCCUUGGUGAGAACUUUUGAACAGUAGUGCAUAAAUGUUUUCUUUUUAGCUAAAAUAUAUAUAUUUUUUCCAACUAAAAUUUGAUGGCAUUUAGUUUAAAGUAAAUUUGAUUAAAUUAAUGACUAUGACAUUAUUAAAUUUAAAGUAUUUUUUUGUCAAAGCAAAAACUACAAAAUUAAAAAAAUUAAAAAUCUGAAAGACAAGGACCUUUAGCCCUGUGUGUGUGUGUGUGUGUGUGUGUGUGUGUGUGUGUGUGUGUGUGUGUGUGUGUGUGUGUAUGUCAGCAGCCCUCCCAGUACCGUAUCCAGUGCCGGGCCCUCGUCUCCAUCUGUACCAGAGCCCUCAUCCAACUUCAGAUUCAACAGCGAGUAGAACAUCUUUUACUCUUAGAUCAGUUUCACGGUGUCUAUUUUAAAGGAUUGAGGUUAAGAUUGAUACGGUCCUAGUUAUCUGCUUGAAAGCUGCUAAUAUUGUACUAUCUGCACUUCUGCCUGAACAAUACAGAGCCUCUUUGUCUGAGAUUCAGCUGAUGGUUUGAUCUGUCAGCAAAUGCAGCUCUGAAACCAGUAAUUAGCUCUUCCGCUGUACUUCUGAGCUCCGGUGGAGUUGGAUAGUAAUUAUGAUCCCAGAUUCAGCGGCAGAGAGACAGAGACAUCACAGACAAUGAUAAUUGUCUGUGCAUCUUUUUACAGAAUAAUGCAACUCAAAUAAAUACCCAAAGAAGUAUACAAGUCCACAAAAAAUAGAUUUAAUCAUUUAGAUCCAAUCGCGUAAUUUUAAUUGUACCACUAUUUUUUUUUCAGUUUGUGUAUAUUUGAAUUAUUGUAUGAUUUUUUUAAUGUUUGAUUUAUUUUUUUGAUCAUGUGAUUUGUUUUUAGACUUACAUAAAAGUUGCUGUAUUUUUAUUGUAUGAAAUGCAAAGGUAUUGUUUGAGAAUGAUUCAAGGGAUAGUUCACCCAAAAAUUUAUAUUCUGUCAUCAUUUACUCGGCCUCGUCAUUCAGAACCUGUAUGAAUUUAUUUCUUCUGUUCACUAUAAAAGAAGAUAUUUUGAAGACCGCUGAGAACCAAAAAGAUGAUGGCACCCAUUGACUUGCAUAGUAUUUUUUUCCAAACCAUUGAAGUGAAUGGAUACCGUCAAAUGUUUAACUACCCACAUUCUUCAAAAUAUCUUCUUUUGUGCACAACAGAGCAAACUCAAACAGGUUUGGAGCAAUUUGAAGAUGAGUAAAUAACAGAAUUUUUAUUUUGAGCGAGACCCAUCCCAUAAAAUGAGCUGCAAUAGACUUUUCAAGAGUGUUCAGCUGUUUGCAAUCUGCUGUUGUGUUUACUCUGUAAAGUUGAAAGUAUAUUUAAUUUUAGAGACUUGUAUUACUUAAUAAAAUAGCUUUAAAU
Cyprinus carpio carpio is the source of this 1749-nucleotide long non-coding RNA. Lineage: Eukaryota; Metazoa; Chordata; Actinopteri; Cypriniformes; Cyprinidae. The record is from Ensembl.